Xyrichtys novacula (pearly razorfish) is the source of this 12628-nucleotide non-coding RNA. NCBI's taxonomy places the organism in Eukaryota, Metazoa, Chordata, Actinopteri, Labriformes, Labridae. The record is from the annotation of a GenBank genome assembly.
GGCUUUCGUUCGACCGGCACCACAUUUGCGCAGGCCAAUCUACCCCCCAUGGCCAUUAAAAGUUGUACAAAUCAUGACGCUGCACCCCACGGUUUACGUUCUAGGGGGCGCCAAAGAUAACCCAAAAUCCACAUUCUUAAAAGUCUUAUAACUUUUUAUUUUUGUCCUCACUGCCCUCCAAGUUUUCUAGGAUGAUGCAAUGUCCAGCCAUCAACACAUUUGUGAAGGAAUUUUUACUCCCCAAAAGAGCGCCCCCCCAUGGCAGGAGAAAAAAGUCAAUUUUUUCUUGUCCCCUUACAUGAAAAUACACAUUGUUGAGUGUCACGCCUGAACGCUUUGUCAUAUUGACACAAAAAUUGACAAUCAUGUGUAUCUCAAUUAGAUCUACGAAAAAGUCAAAAAGCGCGUAUCUGUAUAAUGUACGGUUAAAGGGCUAUUUCGCAUUUUUUGACGAUUCGCACACAUUGGAAUGUGGCUAUCUCCUCCUAAGGCUUUCGUCCCACCGAUACCAAAUUUGCUCAGGGCAAUCUACACCCCAUGCCCAUUCAAAGUUGUAAAAAUCAUGACGCUGCACCCCACGGUUUACGUUCUAGGGGGCGCCAAAGAUGACCCAAAAAUCCACAUUCUUAAAAGUCAUUUUGGCCACUGCAGGAGUACAGAGUACUGCAGUUCUAGGGGGCGCCAAAGAUGACCCAAAAAUCCACAUUCUUAAAAGUCUUUUUGGCCACUGCAGGAGUACAGAGUACUGCAGGAUACACACACACACACACACACACACACACACACACACACACACACACACACACACACACACACUCAGAGUCUGUUUUUUAGCACCUGCAAAAACAUGCUGUUUACAUAUUUGACAAGAAUGCAGAGGCUUCCUUUUGCCCCUGAAAAAAAUCAGAUUUCAAACACAACUUGACUGUUCAUUUCUCCAAAAGACAACCAUGAAGCUCCAUCCAAACCUGAAGCAGAUAGUUGGUGCAUGUGUACAGUAACCUGAGGGGAGUGAGGUGACUAUUUCUGAGGAGAACAUGAGCAGUGAAGAUUCACCUUGGAGCUAGAACAGGGACGUGCACAUGAUUAUACAGGGGCAGGGGCUCAAGUUUUCAUUUAUACAAUAUGGAAAUUAAUGUGAAAUUAAACCACAAAUAUGUGUGAUGAACUGUUUUUAAAACUUAAACUUCAAAUAAAAAUUGUAAACUUCAAAACAUAUGCAAAUUUUUAACAAAGAACAUAGUAAUUUACCUCUAUUUACAUCAAAAUGCAGGCAAUGGCCCAGGCGUUCUUUGUAAAAUUAUUUACAAAACACUGUAUAGUCUCACAAAUGUCACUUUUUAUUUAUGCCACUACAAAAAAACAUGAUGUAAAUGAUGCAUGAUGUAAAACAUGAUGUAAAAAACUUGUGUAGAUCCUCCUCUAUGUCAGUCCAUGUGUAAUUUUUCCAUAAUUCUUUGUUUUUUGCAGCAUUUUUGUUAGUGUAACUGCAGAUUGUGCUGACAGUCUAUGGCAAAAAAAACAAAAACUGAAAAUGCCUCAACAUGAACCCCUGGUGGUCUCUGAGGGUGAAACCUGCUAACUGCUGCAGCUCUGUCAGCUUCAGUCUCCCAUGCAGAGCUCGGAGCGCAUGUGUGGCUCUGCACCCUUAGCAGCGUUGCUAACUCCUCAGUAAGGAAAGCCUGCUUCAUGUCAGAGUCUCUAAACUCCAGAAGAAGUCGAUAAAAGUCCCUUUCUUUCUAAAAAAAAGUCGUUAGGGGGUCUGAAAAGUAAUUGAAUCUAACAACAAAGUUGCUAGGUUUGCAACUACGUGUCCCAGACUGCAUCCCUGCUGAGAGUCCCUCCCUCCCUUCUCAUGUUGCAGGAAGAACGUAAGCGCCCGCCCCUUGUCAUUCAGUCACCAUAUAAUUUUGGAUUGGUUGUUGUGGUGAAGUUUUCCACCAAUAGGAGAGAUGUUGUGGUGUGUUUUUUUUUUCUUUUAGCAAGCCUUUUCCGCCUGUAAGACCUGUCGCUAAUGUGUGCAUGCUAUGUUUUCCUGUCUCAUACAGCGCGAUCGAGCGCCGAACGUGAUCAAAAUAAGCAGAAAAAAAGUAUCGCGGACAUAAUUUAUCAUAACUCUGGUUUUAUUUGGCCUAUCAACACAAUUUAAAAACUGGUAUAUAGGUUGAGGUCCUCACUUUUGAGAUAAGUUGAAACGGAGAGUUAACGAGGCUCCGUCUUGCAGCUACAUCCGGUUAAAUAUGUCAUGUGACUUGAACGCUGGGGAGCGUCAAUCGAAUCGAAUCAAACCUAACUCUCAGAUGAAUCUUCAAAAUUCACCUCAGAAAUAUGCUUAUUAUUCUUCUCAGAGUACUGCAGGAUACACACACACACACAGACACACACACACACACGCACACACACACACACACUCAAAGUCUGUUUUUUAGCACCUGCAAAAACAUGCUAUUUACAUAUUUGACAAGAAUGCAGAGGCUUCCUUUUGCCCCUGAAAAAAAUCAAAUUUCAAACACAACUUGACUGCUCAUUUCUCCAAAAGACAACCAUGAAGCUCCAUCCAAACCUGAAGCAGGCAGUUGGUGCAUGUGUACAGUAACCUGAGGGGAGUGAGGUGACUGCUUCUGAGGAGAACAUGAGCAGUGAAGAUUCACCUUGGAGCUAGAACAGGGACGUGCACAUGAUAAUACAAGGGCAGGGGCUCAAGUUUUCAUUUAUACAAUAUGGAAAUUAAUGUGAAAUUAAACCACAAAUAUGUGUGAUGAACUGUUUUUAAAACUUUGGCAGGACGACCGGGCCUGGUGAAAAAUUCGAUAUUCUGAAGUCGCCCAAAAAAUCAAAUGCAAAAUGGCUCCAUAGCGCCCCCUAAGGUGAAAAAUUCACAUGAUUGAGUGUCACGCCUGUACGCUUUGUCAAAAUGACACAAAAUUUGACACACACGUGUAUCUCAAUAAGAUCUACAAAAAAGUCAGUGCGGGCGUAUCUGUCAAAUGUAUGGUUAAAGGUUUAUUUCGCAUUUUUUGCCGAUCCGCACACAUUGGAAUUUCGCUAACUCCUCCGAAGGUUUUCGUUCCACCGGCACCACAUUUGCUCAGGCCAAUCUACACCCCAUGGCCAAUAAAAGUUGUACAAAUCAUGACGCUGCACCCCACGGUUUACGUUCUAGGGGGCGCCAAAGAUAACCCAAAAAUCCACAGUCUUAAAAGUCUUAUAACUUUUUAUUUUUGUCCUCACUGGCCUCCAAGUUCUCUAGGAUGAUGCAAUGUCCAGCCAUCAACACAUUUGUGAAGGAAUUUUUACUCGCCAAAAGAGCGCCCCCCCAUGGCAGGAGAAAAAUGUCAAUUUUUUCUUGUCUCCUAAGGCGAAAAUACACAUCGUUGACUGUCACGCCUUUACGCUUUGUCAAAAUGACACAAAAUUUGACACACACAUGUAUCUCAAUAAGAUCUACAAAAAAGUCAGUGCGGGCGUAUCUGUCAAAUGUACGGUUAAAGGGUUAUUUCGCAUUUUUUGCCGAUCCGCACACAUUGGAAUUUCGCUAACUCCUCCGAAGGCUUUCGUUCCAACGGCACCACAUUUGCUCAGGCCAAUCUACACCCCAUGGCCAUUAAAAGUUGUACAAAUCAUGACGCUGCACCCCACGGUUUACGUUCUAGGGGGCGCCAAAGAUAACCCAAAAAUCCACAGUCUUAAAAGUCUUAUAACUUUUUAUUUUUGUCCUCACUGGCCUCCAAGUUCUCUAGGAUGAUGCAAUGUCCAGCCAUCAACACAUUUGUGAAGGAAUUUUUACUCGCCAAAAGAGCGCCCCCCAUGGCAGGAGAAAAAAGUCCAUUUUUUCUUGUCUCCUAAGGCGAAAAUACACAUUGUUGACUGUCACGCCUUUACGCUUUGUCAAAAUGACACAAAAUUUGACACACACAUGUAUCUCAAUAAGAUCUACGAAAAAGUCAAUGCGAGCGUAUCUGUUCAAUGUACGGUUAAAGGGCUAUUUCGCAUUUUUUGCCGAUUCGCACACAUUGGAAUGUGGCUAACUCCUCCUAAAGCUUUUGUCCCAUCGGCUUCAAAUUUGCUCAGGUCAAUCUACACCCCAUGGCCAUUCAAAGUUGUACAAAUCAUGACGCUGCACCCCACGGUUUACGUUCUAGGGGGUGCCAAAGAGGACCCAAAUAUCCACAUUUUUAAAAGUCUUAUAACUUUUUAUUUUUGUCCUCACUGGCCUCCAAGUUUUCUAGGAUGAUGCAAUGUCCAGCCAUCAACACAUUUGUGAAGGAAUUUUUUCUCCCCAAAAGAGCGCCCCCCAUGGCAGGAGAAAAAGUCAAGUUUUUCCUGCCCAUCGCUCAAUGGCUCAAAAGCAUCGCUCUCUCGGCAAAACCGAAAGGAGGAGCAACUUGCCAUUUGGAUAUAUACUAGCUGUGUUUGUGCCCUCACUCAUGGUCCAGACUUUUUUCAAAAAGGACAUGGAGUUUGUCUGCAGCAAACGUUUUGGUAGAAACUGCGCCUCCCAUUCAUUAUAAUGGUAAAUGACCACAGACAAGUGCGCACACCAUCUUUGGACCUUGAGUGUGACGCGAUCAAGAGGGGUAGGCGGUCGCGCUGGGGGUGGCGCGACACGGCUCGGGCCCGCCAGUGCCCCAACGGGGCCCUAGUUAUUAUUUUUCCUCCCCUUUGAACUGGAAAAUGGCCCACUUCCCACUGGCGAAAACUCAUGAAAUUUGGCAGGACGACCGGGCCUGGUGAAAAAUUUGAUAUUCCGAAGUCGCCCAAACAAGAAAAUGCAAAAUGGCUCCAUAGCGCCCCCUAAGGUGAAAAUUCACACUAUUGACUGUCACGCCUGUACGCUUUGUCAAAAUGACACAAAAAUUGACACACACAUGUAUCUCAAUAAGAUCUACAAAAAAGUCAGUGCGGGCGUAUCUGUCAAAUGUACAGUUAAAGGGUUAUUUCGCAUUUUUUGCCGAUCCGCACACAUUGGAAUUUCGCUAACUCCUCCGAAGGCUUUCGUUCCACCGGCACCACAUUUGCUCAGGCCAAUCUACACCCCAUGGCCAUUAAAAGUUAUUCAAAUCAUGACGCUGCACCCCACGGUUUAGGUUCUAGGGGGCGCCAAAGAUAACCCUAAGAUCCACAUAUUUAAAAGUCUUAUAACUUUUUAUUUUUGCCCUCACUGACCUCCAAGUUUUCUAGGAUGAUGCAAUGUCCAGCCAUCAACACAUUUGUGAAGAAAUUUUUACUCCCCAAAAGAGCGCCCCCCCAUGGCAGGAGAAAAAAGUCCAUUUUUUCUUGUCCCCUAAGGUGAAAAUACACAUUGUUGAGUGUAACACCUGUACGCUUUGGCAAAAUGACACAAAAAUUGACACACACAUGUAUCUCAAUAAGAUCUACGAAAAAGUCAAUGCGCGCGUAUCUGUCAAAUGUACAGUUAAAGGGUUAUUCCGCAUUUUUUGCCGAUCCGCACACAUUGGAAUUUCGCUAACUCCUCCGAAGGCUUUCGUUCCACCGGCACCACAUUUGCUCAGGCCAAUCUACACCCCAUGGCCAUUAAAAGUUAUUCAAAUCAUGACGCUGCACCCCACGGUUUAGGUUCUAGGGGGCGCCAAAGAUAACCGUAAAAUCCACAUAUUUAAAAGUCUUAUAACUUUUUAUUUUUGUCCCCACUGGCCUCCAAGUUUUCUAGGAUGAUGCAAUGUCCAGCCAUCAACACAUUUGUGAAGGAAUUUUUACUCGCCAAAAGAGCGCCCCCCCAUGGCAGGAGAAAAAAGUCCAUUUUUUCUUGUCCACUAAGGUGAAAAUACACAUUGUUGAGUGCUACGCCUGUAUGUUUUGUCGUAUUGACACAAAAUUUUACACACACGUGUAUUUCAAUAAGAUCUUCGAAAAAGUCAAUGGCCACGUAUCUGUCAAAUGUACGGUUAAAGGGUUAUUUCGCAUUUUUUGCAGAUUCGCACACAUUGGAAUUUCGCUAACUCCUCCGAAGGCUUUCGUUCCACCGGCACCACAUUUGCUCAGGCCAAUCUACACCCCAUGGCCAUUAAAAGUUAUUCAAAUCAUGACGCUGCACCCCACGGUUUAGGUUCUAGGGGGCGCCAAAGAUAACCGUAAAAUCCACAUAUUUAAAAGUCUUAUAACUUUUUAUUUUUGUCCUCACUGGCCUCCAUGUUUUCUAGGAUGAUGCAAUGUCCAGCCAUCAACACAUUUGUGAAGGAGUUUUUUCUCGUUAAAAGAGCGCCCCCCCAUGGCAGGAGAAUAAAGUCAAGUUUUUCCUGUUCAUCAUUCAAUGGCUCAAACGCACUUCUCUCUCGGCAAAAGCGAAAGGAGGAGCAACUUGCCAUUUGGAUAUAUCUUAGCUGUGUUUGUGCCCUCACUCAUGGUCCAGACUUUUUUCAAAUAGGACAUGGAGUUUUUCUGCAGCGAGCGUUUUGGUAGAAACUGCGCCUCCCGUUCAUUAUAAUGGUAAAUGACCACAAACAAGUGCGCACACCAUCUUUGGACCUUGAGUGUGACGCGAUCGGGUGGGGGAGGCGGUCGCGCUGGGGGCGGCGUGACACGGCUCGGGCCCGCCAGUGCCCCAACGGGGCCCUAGUUUUUCUUUUUCCUCCCCUUUGAACUGGAAAAUGGCCCAAUUCCCACUGGCGAAAACUCAUGAAAUUUGGCAGGACGACCGGGCCUGGUGAAAAAAUUGAUAUUCCGAAGUCGCCCAAACAAGAAAAUGCAAAAUGGCUCCAUAGCGCCCCCUAAGGUUAAAAUUCACACUAUUGACUGUCACGCCUGUACGCUUUGUCAAAAUGACACAAAAAUUGACACACACAUGUAUCUCAAUAAGAUCUACAAAAAAGUCAGUGCGGGCGUAUCUGUCAAAUGUACGGUUAAAGGGUUAUUUCGCAUUUUUUGCCGAUCCGCACACAUUGGAAUUUCGCUAACUCCUCCGAAGGCUUUCGUUCCACCGGCACCACAUUUGCUCAGGCCAAUCUACACCCCAUGGCCAUUAAAAGUUAUUCAAAUCAUGACGCUGCACCCCACGGUUUAGGUUCUAGGGGGCGCCAAAGAUAACCAAAAAAUCCACAGUCUUAAAAGUCUUAUAACUUUUUAUUUUUGUCCUCACUGGCCUCCAAGUUCUCUAGGAUGAUGCAAUGUCCAGCCAUCAACACAUUUGUGAAGGAAUUUUUACUCCCCAAAAGAGCGCCCCCCCAUGGCAGGAGAAAAAAGUCCAUUUUUUCUUGUCCCCCAAGGCGAAAAUACACAUUGUUGAAUGUCACGCCUGUACGCUUUGUCAUAUUGACACAAAAUUUGACAAUCACGUGCAUCUCAAUAAGAUCUACAAAAAAGUCAGUGCGGGAGUAUCUGUCAAAUGUACGGUUAAAGGGCUAUUUCGCAUUUUUUGCCGAUCCGCACACAUUGGAAUUUCGCUAACUCCUCCGAAGGCUUUCGUUCCACCGGCACCAAAUUUGCUCAAGCCAAUCUACACCCCAUGGCCAUUAAAAAUUGUACAAAUCAUGACGCUGCACCCCACGGUUUAGGUUCUAGGGGGCGCCAAAGAUAACCCAAAAAUCCACAUUCUUUAGUCUUAUAACUUUUUAUUUUUGUCCUCACUGGCCUCGAAGUUUUCUAGGAUGAUGCAAUGUCUAGCCAUCAACACAUUUGUGAAGGAAUUUUUACUCCCUAAAAGAGCUCCCCCCCAUUGCAGGAGAAAAAGUCAAGUUUUUCCUGCCCAUCGCUCAAUGGCUCAAACACAUCGCUCUCUCGGCAAAACCGAAAGGAGGAGCAACUUGCCAUUUGGAUAUAUCCUAGCUGUGUUUGUGCCCUCACUCAUGGUCCAGACUUUUUUCAAAUAGGACAUGUAGUUUGUCUGCAGCGAGCGUUUUGGUAGAAACUGCGCCUCCCAUUCAUUAUAAUGGUAAAUGACCACAGACAAGUGCGCACGCCAUCUUUGGACCUUGAGUGUGACGCGAUCGGGAGGGAGAGGCGGUCGUGCUGGGGGCAGCGCGACACAGCUCGGGCCCGCCAGUGUCCCAACGGGGCCCUAGUUAGGGCCCGAGCAUAGCUGCUAAGCAGCUGCGAGAGCCCUAUUGUUCCUGAUGGAUUCUUCUUUCUUCUUCUUCUUCUUUUUCUUCUUCUUAUUAGGGCCCGAGCCAGCUGCAGAGCAGCCGGGCGUAGAGCCCUAUUGUUCCCCAGGUGGUUUUUCUUUGUUUCUUUCUUUCUUUCUUUCUUUCUUUCUUUAGGGCCCGAGCAUAGCUGCUAAGCAGCUGCGAGAGCCCUCUUGUUCCUGAUGGAUUCUUCUUUUUUGGGCCUGAGCGUAGCUGCUAAGCAGCUGCGAGGCCCUAUUAUUCCUGUAGUGGUUUUUCUUUGUUUCUUUUUUCUUUUUCCUCCCCUUUGAACUGGAAAAUGGCCCAAUUCCCACUGGCGAAAACUCAUGAAAUUUGGCAGGACGACCGGGCCUGGUGAAAAAAUUGAUAUUCCGAAGUCGCCCAAACAAGAAAAUGCAAAAUGGCUCCAUAGCGCCCCCUAAGGUUAAAAUUCACACUAUUGACUGUCACGCCUGUACGCUUUGUCAAAAUGACACAAAAAUUGACACACACAUGUAUCUCAAUAAGAUCUACAAAAAAGUCAGUGCGGGCGUAUCUGUCAAAUGUACGGUUAAAGGGUUAUUUCGCAUUUUUUGCCGAUCCGCACACAUUGGAAUUUCGCUAACUCCUCCGAAGGCUUUCGUUCCACCGGCACCACAUUUGCUCAGGCCAAUCUACACCCCAUGGCCAUUAAAAGUUAUUCAAAUCAUGACGCUGCACCCCACGGUUUAGGUUCUAGGGGGCGCCAAAGAUAACCAAAAAAUCCACAGUCUUAAAAGUCUUAUAACUUUUUAUUUUUGUCCUCACUGGCCUCCAAGUUCUCUAGGAUGAUGCAAUGUCCAGCCAUCAACACAUUUGUGAAGGAAUUUUUACUCCCCAAAAGAGCGCCCCCCCAUGGCAGGAGAAAAAAGUCCAUUUUUUCUUGUCCCCCAAGGCGAAAAUACACAUUGUUGAAUGUCACGCCUGUACGCUUUGUCAUAUUGACACAAAAUUUGACAAUCACGUGCAUCUCAAUAAGAUCUACGAAAAAGUCAAUGCGCGCGUAUCUGUAAAAUGUAGGGUUAAAGGGCUUUUUCGCAUUUUUUGCAGAUUCGGACACAUUGGAAUGUGGCUUAGUCCUCCUAAGGCUUUCGUCCCACUGACACCAAAUUUGCUCAGGCCAAUCUACACCCCAUGGCCAUUCAACGUUGUAAAAAUCAUGACGCUGCACCCCACGGUCUACGUUCUAGGGGGCGCCAAAGAGGACCCAAAUAUCCACAUUUUUAAAAGUCUUAUAACUUUUUAUUUUUGUGCUCACUGGCCUCCAAGUUUUCUAGGAUGAUGCAAUGUCCAGUCAUCAACACAUUUGUGAAGGAAUUUUUACUCCCCAAAAGAGCGCCCCCCCAUGGCAGGAGAAAAAAGUCCAUUUUUUCUUGUCCCCUAAGGUGAAAAUACACAUUGUUGAGGGUCAUGCCUGUACGCUUUGUCAAAAUGACACAAAAUUCGACACACACGUGUAUCUCAAUAAGAUCUACGAAAAAGUAAAUGCAGGCGUAUCUGUCAAAUGUACGGUUAAAGGGCUAUUUAGGGCCCGAGCGUAGCUGCUAGGCAGCUGCGAGAGCCCUAUUAUUCCCCAAGUGGUUUUUCUUUGUUUCUUUAGGGCCCGAGCCAGCUGCAGAGCAGCCGGGCGUAGGCCCUAUUAUUCCCCAAGUGGUUUUUCUUUGUUUCUUUCUUUCUUUCUUUCUUAGGGCCCGAGCGUAGCUGCUAAGCAGCUGCGAGAGCCCUCUUGUUCCUGUAGUUUCCUUCUUUUGUUAUUAUUAUUAUUAUUUUUCCUCCCAUUUGAACUGGAAAAUGGCCCACUUCCCACUGGCGAAAACUCAUGAAAUUUGGCAGGACGACCGGGCCUGGUGAAAAAUUUGAUAUUCCGAAGUCGCCCAAACAAGAAAAUGCAAAAUGGCUCCAUAGCGCCCCCUAAGGUGAAAAUUCACACUAUUCACUGUCACGCCGGUACGCUUUGUCAAAAUGACACAAAAAUUGACACACACAUGUAUCUCAAUAAGAUCUACAAAAAAGUCAGUGCGGGCGUAUCUGUCAAAUGUACGGUUAAAGGGUUAUUUCGCAUUUUUUGCCGAUCCGCACACAUUGGAAUUUCGCUAACUCCUCCGAAGGCUUUCGUUCCACCGGCACCACAUUUGCUCAGGCCAAUCUACACCCCAUGGCCAUUAAAAGUUAUUCAAAUCAUGACGCUGCACCCCACGGUUUAGGUUCUAGGGGGCGCCAAAGAUAACCCUAAGAUCCACAUAUUUAAAAGUCUUAUAACUUUUUAUUUUUGCCCUCACUGGCCUCCAAGUUUUCUAGGAUGAUGCAAUGUCCAGCCAUCAACACAUUUGUGAAGGAAUUUUUACUCCCCAAAAGAGCGCCCCCCCAUGGCAGGAGAAAAAAGUCCAUUUUUUCUUGUCCCCUAAGGUGAAAAUACACAUUGUUGAGUGUAACACCUGUACGCUUUGGCAAAAUGACACAAAAAUUGACACACACAUGUAUCUCAAUAAGAUCUACGAAAAAGUCAAUGCGCGCGUAUCUGUCAAAUGUACGGUUAAAGGGUUAUUCCGCAUUUUUUGCCGAUCCGCACACAUUGGAAUUUCGCUAACUCCUCCGAAGGCUUUCGUUCCACCGGCACCACAUUUGCUCAGGCCAAUCUACACCCCAUGGCCAUUAAAAGUUAUUCAAAUCAUGACGCUGCACCCCACGGUUUAGGUUCUAGGGGGAGCCAAAGAUAACCGUAAAAUCCACAUAUUUAAAAGUCUUAUAACUUUUUAUUUUUGUCCCCACUGGCCUCCAAGUUUUCUAGGAUGAUGCAAUGUCCAGCCAUCAACACAUUUGUGAAGGAAUUUUUACUCGGCAAAAGAGCGCCCCCCAUGGCAGGAGAAAAAAGUCAAUUUUUUCUUGUCCACUAAGGUGAAAAUACACAUUGUUGAGUGCUACGCCUGUAUGUUUUGUCGUAUUGACACAAAAUUUUACAUACACGUGUAUUUACAUAAGAUCUUCGAAAAAGUCAAUGGCCACGUAUCUGUAAAAUGUACGGUUAAAGGGUUAUUUUGCAUUUUUUGCAGAUUCGCACACAUUGGAAUUUCGCUAAUUCCUCCGAAGGCUUUCGUUCCACCGGCACCACAUUUGCUCAGGCCAAUCUACACCCCAUGGCCAUUAAAAGUUAUUCAAAUCAUGACGCUGCACCCCACGGUUUAGGUUCUAGGGGGCGCCAAAUAUAACCCUAAAAUCCACAUAUUUAAAAGUCUUAUAACUUUUUAUUUUUGUCCUCACUGGCCUCCAUGUUUUCUAGGAUGAUGCAAUGUCCAGCCAUCAACACAUUUGUGAAGGAGUUUUUUCUCUUUAAAAGAGCGCCCCCCCAUGGCAGGAGAAUAAAGUCAAGUUUUUCCUGUUCAUCAUUCAAUGGCUCAAACGCACUGCUCUCUCGGCAAAAGCGAAAGGAGGAGCAACUUGCCAUUUGGAUAUAUCUUAGCUGUGUUUGUGCCCUCACUCAUGGUCCAGACUUUUUUCAAAUAGGACAUGGAGUUUUUCUGCAGCGAGCGUUUUGGUAGAAACUGCGCCUCCCGUUCAUUAUAAUGGUAAAUGACCACAAACAAGUGCGCACACCAUCUUUGGACCUUGAGUGUGACGCGAUCGGGUGGGGGAGGCGGUCGCGCUGGGGGCGGCGUGACACGGCUCGGGCCCGCCAGUGCCCCAACGGGGCCCUAGUUUCUUCUUUUUCCUCCCCUUUGAACUGGAAAAUGGCCCACUUCCCACUGGCGAAAACUCAUGAAAUUUGGCAGGACGACCGGGCCUGGUGAAAAAUUCGAUAUUCUGAAGUCGCCCAAACAAUAAAAUGCAAAAUGGCUCCAUAGCGCCCCCUAAGGUGGAAAUUCACACUAUUGACUGUCACGCCUGUACGCUUUGUCAUAUUGACACAAAAAUUGACACACAUAUGUAUCUCAAUAAGAUCUACAAAAAAGUCAGUGCGGCCGUAUCUGUCAAAAUUACGGUUAAAGGGUUAUUUCGCAUUUUUUUCCGAUCCGCACACAUUGGAAUUUCGCUAACUCCUCCGAAGGCUUUCGUUCCACCGGCACCACAUUUGCUCAGGCCAAUCUACACCCCGUGGCCAUUAAAAGUUAUCAAAAUCAUGACGCUGCACCCCAAGGUUUAGGUUCUAGGGGGCGCCAAAGAUAACACUAAAAUCCACAUAUUUAAAAGUCUUAUAACUUUUUAUUUUUGUCCUCACUGGCCUCCAAGUUUUCUAGGAUGAUGCAUUGUCCAGCCAUCAACACAUUUGUGAAGGAAUUUUUACUCCCCAAAAGAGCGCCCCCCCAUGGCAGGAGAAAAAAGUCCAAUUUUUCUUGUCCCCUAAGGUGAAAAUACACAUUGUUCAGUGUCACGCCUACACGCUUUGUCAAAAUGACACAAAAAUUGACACACACAUGUAACUCAAUAAGAUCUACGAAAAAGUCAAUGCGCGCGUAUCUGUCAAAUGUACGGUUAAAGGGUUAUCUCGCAUUUUUUGCCGAUCCGCACACAUUGGAAUUUCGCUAACUCCUCCGAAG